CGGCUCCAUUCCGAACCCGGAAGCUAAGCCCUUCAGCGCCGAUGGUACUGCACUGGUGACGGUGUGGGAGAGUAGGACGCAGCCGGAC
Molecule: ribosomal RNA, 88 nt
Filed under: Terrabacter sp. Soil811
Lineage: Bacteria; Bacillati; Actinomycetota; Actinomycetes; Micrococcales; Intrasporangiaceae
Also listed under: 1 other name
Source: RNAcentral